GAAGACAUGGAAAAUAAAAUAGGGGUUAUUGUGCCCUAUAUGCAACCAGGGGUUAUUGUGCCCUGUGAAGACAUGAAAAAUAAAAAUAGGGGUUAUUGUGCCCUAUAUGCAACCAGGGGUUAUUGUGCCCUGUGAAGA
Molecule: long non-coding RNA, 138 nt
Organism: Solanum stenotomum
Lineage: Eukaryota; Viridiplantae; Streptophyta; Magnoliopsida; Solanales; Solanaceae
Exons: 2
Source: RefSeq, a predicted model, not a curated record